UAGCCAGUGUGACCAUGCAAUAGCUGGA
Molecule: non-coding RNA, 28 nt
Filed under: Rattus norvegicus (Norway rat)
Lineage: Eukaryota; Metazoa; Chordata; Mammalia; Rodentia; Muridae
Source: RNAcentral